AUGUAACUGACGAGUUCCAAAUAGGAUGAAACACGUUUCAAACUGGAU
This 48-nucleotide non-coding RNA is filed under the name Schistosoma curassoni. Lineage: Eukaryota; Metazoa; Platyhelminthes; Trematoda; Strigeidida; Schistosomatidae. The record is from RNAcentral.